Molecule: ribosomal RNA, 632 nt
Filed under: uncultured bacterium
Lineage: Bacteria
Description: bacterial SSU rRNA
Rfam family: Bacterial small subunit ribosomal RNA (bases 1-534)
Source: RNAcentral
CCUACGGGAGGCAGCAGUAAGGAAUAUUGGUCAAUGGAGGCAACUCUGAACCAGCCAUGCCGCGUGCAGGAAGACAGCCCUAUGGGUCGUAAACUGCUUUUAUACGGGAAUAAACUUUGAUUCGUGAAUCAAGCUGAAUGUACCGUAAGAAUAAGGAUCGGCUAACUCCGUGCCAGCAGCCGCGGUAAUACGGAGGAUCCAAGCGUUAUCCGGAUUUAUUGGGUUUAAAGGGAGCGUAGGCGGCCUAUUAAGUCAGGGGUGAAAGACGGUGGCUCAACCAUCGCAGUGCCUUUGAUACUGAUGGGCUUGAAUAUAGUUGAGGUAGGCGGAAUGUGACAAGUAGCGGUGAAAUGCAUAGAUAUGUCACAGAACACCGAUUGCGAAGGCAGCUUACUAAGCUAUGAUUGACGCUGAGGCUCGAAAGCGUGGGGAUCAAACAGGAUUAGAUACCCUGGUAGUCCACGCCCUAAACCGAUGAUAACUCGAUGUUGGCGAUAUACAGUCAGCGCGAGACGGAGAGUUAGUUAGUCUACCGUGGGUUAGGUUACGUCCGCCGAGGGUAGGAACGUUACGAGUAGAGUUAGACGGCGUUGAGACGUUGCCGACGGACGACCGACGAGGGAGGUUAGGAG